RNAcentral lists this long non-coding RNA (544 nucleotides) under Sus scrofa (pig). RNAcentral describes it as "lncRNA (ENSSSCG00050013234.1)". The record is from RNAcentral. Lineage: Eukaryota; Metazoa; Chordata; Mammalia; Artiodactyla; Suidae.
GGACAGUCUGCGGGCCGGACGUGAACUUGACACCGGCGGGACCGCGGGGGCACCCGGGGAUGACCUGCUCCAGGUGUGCGUUGAGAAGGUUUUUCCCAGCACAAGCAGUUUCCCAGUGAGCCUUGGGGUCCUGCUAGAAAUUUCCGGCGUCCUGUGUGUGAGAGAUUGCCAGUUUCAGAGACGGCGUGAGUGCAGGAAGGAGGCAGCAGGCAGUGCCUGCGUCCACGGCCACCUCUCCAACCCGAAGAUGGGAAGGGCUUUGAAAGCAGGACCUUGCCGCCUCCGUCGAGGGCAGAGCCGAUGACGUGGUGCGUGGCGAAGACACUAGCAAAGGCACAAGCCCCUGGUGACAGUUAAAAAUCCCUGCCUGUGAGCGUCGUUGAAAGCUAAGCACCAGGCGUGAAAAUGCCCAUCCACAGCACUCGUUAUUCUCAAACACGUGGAAAAAAUACACGCUUAUCACGUAAAAGUGCUAUGGCCUCAGGGUCUCAAGGUUAAGGUUGCACACUCCUUGUCUGAUCGCUUGUGUGACCCCUUUCUUUUG